This 492-nucleotide ribosomal RNA is filed under the name uncultured bacterium. Its description in RNAcentral is "partial 16S ribosomal RNA". It matches the Rfam family "Bacterial small subunit ribosomal RNA", at positions 29 to 507 of the family's 1533-position model. The record is from RNAcentral.
AGUGAACGCUGGCGGUAGGCCUAACACAUGCAAGUCGAACGGCAGCACAGUAAGAGCUUGCUCUUACGGGUGGCGAGUGGCGGACGGGUGAGGAAUACAUCGGAAUCUACUUUUUCGUGGGGGAUAACGUAGGGAAACUUACGCUAAUACCGCAUACGACCUACGGUUGAAAGCAGGGGAUCUUCGGACCUUGCGCGAUUGAAUGAGCCGAUGUCGGAUUAGCUAGUUGGCGGGGUAAAGGCCCACCAAGGCGACGAUCCGUAGCUGGUCUGAGAGGAUGAUCAGCCGCACUGGAACUGAGACACGGUCAAGGGGCCUACGGGAGGCAGCAGUGGGGAAUAUUGGACAGUGGGCGCAAGCCUGAUCCAGCCGUACCGCGUGGGUGAAGAAGGCCUUCGGGUUGUAAAGCCCUUUUGUUGGGAAAGAAAAGCAGCAGGUUAAUACCCCGCUGUUCUGACGGUACCCAAAGAAUAAGCACCGGCUAACUUCGUG